RNAcentral lists this ribosomal RNA (253 nucleotides) under uncultured prokaryote. RNAcentral's name for it is "partial 16S ribosomal RNA". It matches the Rfam family "Bacterial small subunit ribosomal RNA", at positions 524 to 776 of the family's 1533-position model. The record is from RNAcentral.
UACGGAGGGUGCAAGCAUUGAUCGGAAUUACUGGGCGUAAAGGGCGCGUAGGCGGUUAGGAAAGUCAGAUGUGAAAUUCCGGGGCUCAACCCCGGAGCUGCAUUUGAAACUCCCUGGCUAGAGUUCAGUUAGGGUAAACGGAAUUCCACGUGUAGCGGUGAAAUGCGUAGAUAUGUGGAAGAACACCGGUGGUGAAGACGGUUUACUGGGCUGAAACUGACGCUGAGGCGCGAAAGCAUGGGGAGCAAACAGG